This 60-nucleotide transfer RNA is filed under the name Arescus labiatus. RNAcentral's name for it is "tRNA-Gly". The record is from RNAcentral. Lineage: Eukaryota; Metazoa; Arthropoda; Insecta; Coleoptera; Chrysomelidae.
ACUUAUGUAUUAUAAAAAUUAUAUUUGACUUCCAAUCAAAAAAUCUAAAUCAGUGUAAGU